Molecule: long non-coding RNA, 1008 nt
Filed under: Macaca fascicularis (crab-eating macaque)
Lineage: Eukaryota; Metazoa; Chordata; Mammalia; Primates; Cercopithecidae
Description: lncRNA (ENSMFAG00000047018.2)
Source: RNAcentral
GACUUUCCCCCACCUCCCUGCUCUGAUAGUUUCCUCCGAGUCGUGGCAGCAGGAAACGCAGUGGAGCUCCAGUGACCCCUCAGAGGCCCGCUGCUUAGCGACACAGCUCGCCUGUGUCCUUGCCAGCCUCACACAGCCCCCAGUCUGGUCUCAGGACGGUUCUGUUCUGAAUCUAUCUCCCCCACCAGAGGAGUCCAGCCGCGACCAGCCGGACGACAGGAAGGACCUGCCAUGGGGUGCCCAGUUUGAGCUGCCUCCAGUGCUCCUGGAGAGGGACAGAUGAGAACACUCUCCAUGUGCCGGAAGUCAGCUUCACCUUCCCCAGAGCCAUGUGGCAAAGCAGUACAAGCCCAAGCAGGGUGCCCCUCCUGCCCUGGGACAUCAGAGGGUCCAGAGACAGUGGAGACCAACGCCACAGCCCACUGCCCCCUGACCACCCCUACAAGUGCCCAGACAGCAGCACCAAGAAGCCAAGAAGACCAAAAUAGAUGGCGGUGGUGUCAGGCAGUGCCGGCUGCAGGGAAGACCACAGCACCAGUCCCUGGCACAGGAUCUCGUCUUAGCCCUGACGCUGGAUGUGUGAGAUGGUGGACUCUCUUGGCAGGGACACUUUGGGGGCAGGACCCCCCAGCCCAGCUUCCCACAGCCCUUGUGCCAGAGCCAGUGGCUGCCUCCUUGCAGGAAAAGAGCCAUGCAUGGAGUGUGGGGGCCCUUCCCAAGGGCCUUUUUGAGGUCACUCUCAAUUGUAGAGGCUUUUCCUGGGAUGGCUCCACAUCGUGGUUUCUGCUCUGGGAGGACGCUGUCUGUGGCGGGGGUACGCUAGGCCAUUGCCCAGCCUUGGGGGUCACGCUACAGAAGCUGCUGGGGACAGCCAAGCGGCCACAGGCUACAGGGUCAGGAAGAACGUGUCUCCUACCCCCACAAGAUUGGGCCAGCCUGCAGAGUGGCCCGGGUCCCUUCCCUGUGCCACACAGGCUUCCGUGUAAGUGCACACCAGGGAAAGACUAG